RNAcentral lists this ribosomal RNA (1434 nucleotides) under Enterococcus mundtii. Its description in RNAcentral is "bacterial SSU rRNA". It matches the Rfam family "Bacterial small subunit ribosomal RNA". Lineage: Bacteria; Bacillati; Bacillota; Bacilli; Lactobacillales; Enterococcaceae. The record is from RNAcentral.
UUCUUUUCCCACCGGAGCUUGCUCCACCGGGAAAAGAGGAGUGGCGAACGGGUGAGUAACACGUGGGUAACCUGCCCAUCAGAAGGGGAUAACACUUGGAAACAGGUGCUAAUACCGUAUAACAAUCGAAACCGCAUGGUUUCGUUUUGAAAGGCGCUUUACGGUGCCGCUGAUGGAUGGACCCGCGGUGCAUUAGCUAGUUGGUGAGGUAACGGCUCACCAAGGCCACGAUGCAUAGCCGACCUGAGAGGGUGAUCGGCCACAUUGGGACUGAGACACGGCCCAAACUCCUACGGGAGGCAGCAGUAGGGAAUCUUCGGCAAUGGACGAAAGUCUGACCGAGCAACGCCGCGUGAGUGAAGAAGGUUUUCGGAUCGUAAAACUCUGUUGUUAGAGAAGAACAAGGGUGAGAGUAACUGUUCACCCCUUGACGGUAUCUAACCAGAAAGCCACGGCUAACUACGUGCCAGCAGCCGCGGUAAUACGUAGGUGGCAAGCGUUGUCCGGAUUUAUUGGGCGUAAAGCGAGCGCAGGCGGUUUCUUAAGUCUGAUGUGAAAGCCCCCGGCUCAACCGGGGAGGGUCAUUGGAAACUGGGAGACUUGAGUGCAGAAGAGGAGAGUGGAAUUCCAUGUGUAGCGGUGAAAUGCGUAGAUAUAUGGAGGAACACCAGUGGCGAAGGCGGCUCUCUGGUCUGUAACUGACGCUGAGGCUCGAAAGCGUGGGGAGCAAACAGGAUUAGAUACCCUGGUAGUCCACGCCGUAAACGAUGAGUGCUAAGUGUUGGAGGGUUUCCGCCCUUCAGUGCUGCAGCUAACGCAUUAAGCACUCCGCCUGGGGAGUACGACCGCAAGGUUGAAACUCAAAGGAAUUGACGGGGGCCCGCACAAGCGGUGGAGCAUGUGGUUUAAUUCGAAGCAACGCGAAGAACCUUACCAGGUCUUGACAUCCUUUGACCACUCUAGAGAUAGAGCUUCCCCUUCGGGGGCAAAGUGACAGGUGGUGCAUGGUUGUCGUCAGCUCGUGUCGUGAGAUGUUGGGUUAAGUCCCGCAACGAGCGCAACCCUUAUUGUUAGUUGCCAUCAUUUAGUUGGGCACUCUAGCAAGACUGCCGGUGACAAACCGGAGGAAGGUGGGGAUGACGUCAAAUCAUCAUGCCCCUUAUGACCUGGGCUACACACGUGCUACAAUGGGAAGUACAACGAGUCGCGAAGUCGCGAGGCUAAGCUAAUCUCUUAAAGCUUCUCUCAGUUCGGAUUGUAGGCUGCAACUCGCCUACAUGAAGCCGGAAUCGCUAGUAAUCGCGGAUCAGCACGCCGCGGUGAAUACGUUCCCGGGCCUUGUACACACCGCCCGUCACACCACGAGAGUUUGUAACACCCGAAGUCGGUGAGGUAACCUUUUUGGAGCCAGCCGCCUAAGGUGGGAUAGAUGAU